Molecule: non-coding RNA, 68 nt
Organism: Podarcis lilfordi (Lilford's wall lizard)
Lineage: Eukaryota; Metazoa; Chordata; Lepidosauria; Squamata; Lacertidae
Source: the annotation of a GenBank genome assembly
GACAGCUCGUUCGGUAGAGCAUGAGACUCUUAAUCUUAGGGUCAUGGUUUCAAGCCCUAUGUUGGGCA